RNAcentral lists this ribosomal RNA (428 nucleotides) under uncultured bacterium. RNAcentral's name for it is "bacterial SSU rRNA". It matches the Rfam family "Bacterial small subunit ribosomal RNA", at positions 355 to 775 of the family's 1533-position model. The record is from RNAcentral.
UAGGGAAUCUUCCGCAAUGGACGAAAGUCUGACGGAGCAACGCCGCGUGAGCGAAGAAGGCCUUCGGGUCGUAAAGCUCUGUUGUUAGGGAAGAACAAGUACCAGAGUAACUGCUGGUACCUUGACGGUACCUAACCAGAAAGCCACGGCUAACUACGUGCCAGCAGCCGCGGUAAUACGUAGGUGGCAAGCGUUGUCCGGAAUUAUUGGGCGUAAAGCGCGCGCAGGUGGUUUCUUAAGUCUGAUGUGAAAGCCCACGGCUCAACCGUGGAGGGUCAUUGGAAACUGGGGAACUUGAGUGCAGAAGAGGAAAGUGGAAUUCCACGUGUAGCGGUGAAAUGCGUAGAGAUGUGGAGGAACACCAGUGGCGAAGGCGACUUUCUGGUCUGUAACUGACACUGAGGCGCGAAAGCGUGGGGAGCAAACAG